Molecule: long non-coding RNA, 1068 nt
Organism: Zonotrichia leucophrys gambelii
Lineage: Eukaryota; Metazoa; Chordata; Aves; Passeriformes; Passerellidae
Exons: 3
Source: RefSeq, a predicted model, not a curated record
UUCACCGUACUUUUCAAUUAGUGGAAAACUGAAUCACUUUCACUUGAAGCCACAUGCAAUGCAGCCUGGUAACUUUGGGUAAGAGUUUGAAGUGGAGUCCUUGAAUCCAAGGAUGAAUAACAUGAAUAACACCAUUCCAGCUCUUAUAUUGCUGAAGGUACAUUUUGAAAGGCAUAUGUGCACUCUGAAACAAAACAUUUCCUUGGGGACAAGACAGACAAAAAAAUUUGACACAAAGGAAAAGACAUUGCUUGGAAAUGAUGUUCAGUUUCUGUGGUGGAAAGCUGCAUGUCCAUUUAAAGGCUUAUAUAAAAGGUGUUAAUUCCCUGAGGUACUUCUGAAAGUCCUGUAACUGGAAAAAGCCGAUGGUCUGUGGAUGAAAAGACAAUCAUAGUAUUGAUACUGUGUGGCUUAAUACUUAAUGGAUUUAAAGUUACUACCAAGGAACCCAUGGCAACUAGCAGAAGAACCUCAGCAAGAAGAGAGAUGUAAGAAGAUUUUUUUUUUCAUCAGUUGACUUCUCACUUCAAUUAUGGCUCACCACACCAGAAGUGUUGGAAGCACCUGCUACCAUUGACCCCAGCACCUCACAGAAAGAAGGGCCAGUGCUUUUCAGCUGGCUGGAGACAAGAGAAGUCCCUUGCUUAUAAACUAGUGCCCCCAGCAAGCAAGUUAACAGAGAAACCCCCACAUAUGACCUGGUGUCACUUUGGAAAUAGAAGCUGUUUGUCCCCAGUGCUCUGGUGAGAAAUGGCUGCGAGUGACUGCAAACUCUCCCUGCUGCACACACCAGCCCAUGGUGUCCCAGCUCCAAAGUCACUGAGGUCAUGUUGUGCACAGCCCUUGUGCACCACCAACACUGUCCUGUGCUCUGCCCUGGCCUUACAUUAUCCUUAUACCGGUAAAAUACUCACAUAUGGCCCAGGCUGCUGGGAGUCCAGCACUUUACUGAUUAUUGUCUUGGGAUGAGAGUUUGGAACAGGAGUCUCAGAUGCCUUCAGAAUUGUUAGUUUCUCAAGAACUGAGGGAAAAUGUUUCAAUAAAGUGUUGCAGCAUGAGCUGUGUUUU